Molecule: ribosomal RNA, 1343 nt
Filed under: uncultured bacterium
Lineage: Bacteria
Description: 16S ribosomal RNA
Rfam family: Bacterial small subunit ribosomal RNA
Source: RNAcentral
GACGAACGCUGGCGGCGUGCUUAACACAUGCAAGUCGAACGGAAAGGCCCUGCUUUUGUGGGGUGCUCGAGUGGCGAACGGGUGAGUAACACGUGAGUAGCCUGCCCUUGACUUUGGGAUAACUUCAGGAAACUGGGGCUAAUACCGGAUAGGAGCUCCUGCUGCAUGGUGGGGGUUGGAAAGUUUCGGCGGUUGGGGAUGGACUCGCGGCUUAUCAGCUUGUUGGUGGGGUAGUGGCUUACCAAGGCUUUGACGGGUAGCCGGCCUGAGAGGGUGACCGGCCACAUUGGGACUGAGAUACGGCCCAGACUCCUACGGGAGGCAGCAGUGGGGAAUAUUGCACAAUGGGCGGAAGCCUGAUGCAGCAACGCCGCGUGCGGGAUGACGGCCUUCGGGUUGUAAACCGCUUUCGCCUGUGACGAAGCGUGAGUGACGGUAAUGGGUAAAGAAGCACCGGCUAACUACGUGCCAGCAGCCGCGGUGAUACGUAGGGUGCGAGCGUUGUCCGGAUUUAUUGGGCGUAAAGGGCUCGUAGGUGGUUGAUCGCGUCGGAAGUGUAAUCUUGGGGCUUAACCCUGAGCGUGCUUUCGAUACGGGUUGACUUGAGGAAGGUAGGGGAGAAUGGAAUUCCUGGUGGAGCGGUGGAAUGCGCAGAUAUCAGGAGGAACACCAGUGGCGAAGGCGGUUCUCUGGGCCUUUCCUGACGCUGAGGAGCGAAAGCGUGGGGAGCGAACAGGCUUAGAUACCCUGGUAGUCCACGCUGUAAACGGUGGGUACUAGGUGUGGGGUCCAUUCCACGGGUUCCGUGCCGUAGCUAACGCUUUAAGUACCCCGCCUGGGGAGUACGGCCGCAAGGCUAAAACUCAAAGGAAUUGACGGGGCCCCGCACAAGCGGCGGAGCAUGCGGAUUAAUUCGAUGCAACGCGUAGAACCUUACCUGGGUUUGACAUGGAUCGGGAGCGCUCAGAGAUGGGUGUGCCUCUUUUGGGGUCGGUUCACAGGUGGUGCAUGGCUGUCGUCAGCUCGUGUCGUGAGAUGUUGGGUUAAGUCCCGCAACGAGCGCAACCCUUGUUCACUGUUGCCAGCACGUUAUGGUGGGGACUCAGUGGAGACCGCCGGGGUCAACUCGGAGGAAGGUGGGGAUGACGUCAAGUCAUCAUGCCCCUUAUGUCCAGGGCUUCACGCAUGCUACAAUGGCUGGUACAGAGAGUGGCGAGCCUGUGAGGGUGAGCGAAUCUCGGAAAGCCGGUCUCAGUUCGGAUUGGGGUCUGCAACUCGACCUCAUGGAGUCGGAGUCGCUAGUAAUCGCAGAUCAGCAACGCUGCGGUGAAUACGUUCCCGGG